GUAGGUGGCAAGCGUUGUCCGGAAUUAUUGGGCGUAAAGCGCGCGCAGGCGGUUCUUUAAGUCUGAUGUGAAAGCCCACGGCUCAACCGUGGAGGGUCAUUGGAAACUGGAGAACUUGAGUACAGAAGAGGAAAGCGGAAUUCCACGUGUAGCGGUGAAAUGCGUAGAGAUGUGGAGGAACACCAGUGGCGAAGGCGGCUUUCUGGUCUGUAACUGACGCUGAGGCGCGAAAGCGUGGGGAGCAAACAGGGAUUAGAUACCCUGGUAGUCCACGCCGUAAACGAUGAGUGCUAAGUGUUAGGGGGUUUCCCGCCCCUUAGUGCUGCAGCUAACGCAUUAAGCACUCCGCCUGGGGAGUACGACCCGCAAGGUUG
RNAcentral lists this ribosomal RNA (374 nucleotides) under uncultured organism. RNAcentral describes it as "partial 16S ribosomal RNA". It matches the Rfam family "Bacterial small subunit ribosomal RNA", at positions 527 to 896 of the family's 1533-position model. The record is from RNAcentral.